This 331-nucleotide ribosomal RNA is filed under the name Salmonella enterica subsp. enterica serovar Enteritidis. Its description in RNAcentral is "bacterial SSU rRNA". It matches the Rfam family "Bacterial small subunit ribosomal RNA", at positions 851 to 1182 of the family's 1533-position model. Lineage: Bacteria; Pseudomonadati; Pseudomonadota; Gammaproteobacteria; Enterobacterales; Enterobacteriaceae. The record is from RNAcentral.
GCUAACGCGUUAAGUAGACCGCCUGGGGAGUACGGCCGCAAGGUUAAAACUCAAAUGAAUUGACGGGGGCCCGCACAAGCGGUGGAGCAUGUGGUUUAAUUCGAUGCAACGCGAAGAACCUUACCUGGUCUUGACAUCCACAGAAGAAUCCAGAGAUGGAUUUGUGCCUUCGGGAACUGUGAGACAGGUGCUGCAUGGCUGUCGUCAGCUCGUGUUGUGAAAUGUUGGGUUAAGUCCCGCAACGAGCGCAACCCUUAUCCUUUGUUGCCAGCGGUUAGGCCGGGAACUCAAAGGAGACUGCCAGUGAUAAACUGGAGGAAGGUGGGGAUGA